GAUGAACGCUGGCGGCGUGCUUAACACAUGCAAGUCGAACGGAAAGGCCCCAGCUUGCUGGGGUACUCGAGUGGCGAACGGGUGAGUAACACGUGGGUGAUCUGCCCUGCACUUUGGGAUAAGCUUGGGAAACUGGGUCUAAUACCGAAUAUGACCACUUCUUGGAUGUUGUGGUGGAAAGCUUUUGCGGUGUGGGAUGAGCCUGCGGCCUAUCAGCUUGUUGGUGGGGUAAUGGCCUACCAAGGCGGCGACGGGUAUCCGGCCUGAGAGGGUGUACGGACACAUUGGAACUGAGAUACGGCCCAGACUCCUACGGGAGGCAGCAGUGGGGAAUAUUGCACAAUGGGCGUAAGCCUGAUGCAGCGACGCCGCGUGGGGGAUGAAGGCCUUCGGGUUGUAAACUCCUUUCGCUAUCGACGAAGCCACUUGUGGUGACGGUAGGUAGAUAAGAAGCACCGGCUAACUACGUGCCAGCCGCCGCAGUAA
RNAcentral lists this ribosomal RNA (486 nucleotides) under uncultured bacterium. RNAcentral's name for it is "partial 16S ribosomal RNA". It matches the Rfam family "Bacterial small subunit ribosomal RNA", at positions 28 to 523 of the family's 1533-position model. The record is from RNAcentral.